UGGAUCUCCGGGUACCGAUGGGUCCCACAAAACGUGGUCCCACAUCUGCACUUGAACCCUGUCAAUCCCACCUUCUUCCUGCAGGCCGAACAUCUGUUCGGCUGUGCAGAAAUCGGUUGGACCGCGACUGUUACAGCCGCGGUCACAACCUCAGGUUCUUCCUCCGCAGCUGUCGAUUCCUGCAGCACCAGUAUCGAUGAGGUUGAUGGAAUCGGCAGCUGCGAAGGAGGAAAAAGGGAAUCAAUAGGUUUUUGUUGUCCCCCUUUUAUGUAAACUUCAUUGUAACAUUUGGAGCAGAAAUUUUGCGUUGUUGGGCUACCAAAGAAACCACAGUUAUUAGCGCAUAAUAUAUGUCCUUCUGGUGCUUCAAAUCCAUGUUCUUCCGCCAUAAUUAUAUCGAUUUCUCUUCGAUAUCAAAAAGCACGAA
This 427-nucleotide unclassified non-coding RNA is filed under the name Hevea brasiliensis (rubber tree). Lineage: Eukaryota; Viridiplantae; Streptophyta; Magnoliopsida; Malpighiales; Euphorbiaceae. The record is from RNAcentral.